GACGUAGGGCGCGAGCGUUGUCCGGAUUUAUUGGGCGUAAAGAGCUCGUAGGCGGCUUGUCGCGUCGUCCGUGAAAACUUGGGGCUCAACCCCCAAGCUUGCGGUCGAUACGGGCAGGCUAGAGUUCGGUAGGGGAGACGUGGAAUUCCUGGUGUAGCGGUGAAAUGCGCAGAUAUCAGGAGGAACACCGGUGGCGAAGGCGGGUCUCUGGGCCGAUACUGACGCUGAGGAGCGAAAGCGUGGGGAGCGAACAGG
Molecule: ribosomal RNA, 255 nt
Filed under: uncultured bacterium
Lineage: Bacteria
Description: partial 16S ribosomal RNA
Rfam family: Bacterial small subunit ribosomal RNA
Source: RNAcentral